GCCGGGCGUGGUGGCGGGCACCUGUAAUCCCAGCUAUUUGGGAGGCUGAGGCAGGAGAAUGGCGUGAACCCGGGAGGCGGAGCUUGCAGUGAGCAGAGAUCGCGCCACUGCACUCCAGCCUGGGCGAAAGAGUGAGACUCUGUCUCAAAAAAAAAAAAAAAUGUCCUUCUAUAAGAUCUCACUGUGUUGCCCAGGUUGGAGUACAGUGGCUCAAUCUUGGCUCACUGCAGCCUUAACCUCCCAGAUUCAAGCAAUCCUCCC
RNAcentral lists this long non-coding RNA (261 nucleotides) under Homo sapiens (human). RNAcentral's name for it is "non-protein coding lnc-SOCS7-2:1". The record is from RNAcentral. Lineage: Eukaryota; Metazoa; Chordata; Mammalia; Primates; Hominidae.